UUUAAUGUCGUAGGACUAGAAAAGGAGAAUUGUUGCCCCUCUUGGGCAGAGCUUAGGUCAUUUGGGACGUUAAGGUUACUUUCUUGGUGAUUAGCCAUCGUGGAUCUCAGUGGGUUUCUUUAAGAGUGAAAACUCCGGUGAUGAAAAAAUCUCCGUCGUUUCCCACAGACGGCGCCAAUUGAUAAUCUGAGAUCCAAUAGAAUAGGGUUUUACAAGGGUUUUGGUAUUGAAGAAUAAAGCUUGGUCCAUCUCUCUAGAGGGGUAUCCCUUUUAUCCUUUCUGUCUGCUUGCUGGUGACGUACUACGGCUCUCCUAUGAUUGGGCCACGCGUCUCUGCCAUACAGAUAUGGGCGUACGAGGAUAUCAGGCGCCUGCUCCAUGCGUAACGGCCUCUGAUUCUCCCCCGUGCGUACGCUCGAGCGGAUCUGCCAGGCUGUAUGACGAGUCUCGUUCUGGAUCCUGGGCUGGGCCGAAAGCUAGGCUGGACGCGGAACCCAGGAGGAGAAGGAAUCCGUGGGGAGGUUAUACGGGCUGGGCCGAUCUCGAUUAGGAAGAAUCUGGUGGAGUCCGGCCUCAGGGGUCUGAUGGUCCGGGCCUGUU
RNAcentral lists this long non-coding RNA (600 nucleotides) under Manihot esculenta (cassava). Its description in RNAcentral is "long non-coding RNA (MESC_LNC001027)". Lineage: Eukaryota; Viridiplantae; Streptophyta; Magnoliopsida; Malpighiales; Euphorbiaceae. The record is from RNAcentral.